This is a non-coding RNA of Bubalus bubalis (water buffalo), 73 nucleotides long. Lineage: Eukaryota; Metazoa; Chordata; Mammalia; Artiodactyla; Bovidae. The record is from the annotation of a RefSeq genome assembly.
UCCCUGGUAGCUCAGAUGGUAGAGUGUCUGCCUGCAGUGCAGGAGACCUGGGUUCGAUCCCCAGGUCAGGAAU